This 492-nucleotide ribosomal RNA is filed under the name uncultured bacterium. RNAcentral's name for it is "partial 16S ribosomal RNA". It matches the Rfam family "Bacterial small subunit ribosomal RNA", at positions 29 to 507 of the family's 1533-position model. The record is from RNAcentral.
AGUGAACGCUGGCGGUAGGCCUAACACAUGCAAGUCGAACGGCAGCACAGUAAGAGCUUGCUCUUACGGGUGGCGAGUGGCGGACGGGUGAGGAAUACAUCGGAAUCUACUUUUUCGUGGGGGAUAACGUAGGGAAACUUACGCUAAUACCGCAUACGACCUACGGGUGAAAGCAGGGGAUCUUCGGACCUUGCGCGAUUGAAUGAGCCGAUGUCGGAUUAGCUAGUUGGCGGGGUAAAGGCCCACCAAGGCGACGAUCCGUAGCUGGUCUGAGAGGAUGAUCAGCCACACUGGAACUGAGACACGGUCAAGACUCCUGCGGGAGGCAGCAGUGGGGAAUAUUGGACAAUGGGGGCAAGCCUGAUCCAGCCAUACCGCGUGGGUGAAGAAGGCCUUCGGGUUGUAAAGCCCUUUUGUUGGGAAAGAAAAGCAGCAGGUUAAUACCCCGCUGUUCUGACGGUACCCAAAGAAUAAGCACCGGCUAACUUCGUG